GCAGCGCGUAACCAUGCUCCGUUCUCGUCCUAGACACCAUACAGGACAGAAGCAGUGGCAGGGCCUUGAGAGAUGCUCUGAGAAGAUGCAGGGAGCUGUUGGAGCACUACAGCGUCAAAUGCUUCUACUGCUGUCCCUUCAAAAUCAUCCAGGUCUUUGAAGUUUUCCUUGAUUCUCAAGAGCUCAGCCAGUUCAUAAUGACUAUUUUGGACAGCCUGAGAAGCCUGCCACAUCCCUGUAUCCAGCAGACAGCAGGAGAGUUGCUGAUAACUUUGGUGAAAAGUGCAGAGGCCCGAUUUGAGAAGGGCUGGAUCUAAACUGAGUUAUUCACGGCUGAAAAGAAACUGACUUUACCUCAACAAUGUCACUGUCCUCAUCCUGAGAGAAGAGAAGCAGGGGAACCAGGCUUUCCAGGACUUGGGUUUCCACACUCUUCUUUUCCGUGCUCUUCACAGACUUGAUGGAGGCUCCAAAAAGAGUCACGGAGUUAUGGUGAAUAUCCCGUCUCACCUGAGAUGGAGUGGUCAUACGGAAACAGCUCACUGA
Long non-coding RNA from Acomys russatus (golden spiny mouse), 546 nucleotides. RefSeq lists it as uncharacterized. Lineage: Eukaryota; Metazoa; Chordata; Mammalia; Rodentia; Muridae. The transcript has 3 exons. The record is from RefSeq and is a predicted model, not a curated record.